AUUGAACGCUGGCGGCAUGCCUUACACAUGCAAGUCGAACGGCAGCGGACCUUCGGGUGCCGGCGAGUGGCGAACGGGUGAGUAAUAUAUCGGAACGUACCUUUCAGUGGGGGAGUAACGUAGCGAAAGUUACGCUAAUACCGCAUAUUCUGUGAGCAGGAAAGCAGGGGAUCGCAAGACCUUGCGCUGAUUGAGCGGCCGAUAUCAGAUUAGCUAGUUGGUGAGGUAAAGGCUCACCAAGGCGACGAUCUGUAGCGGGUCUGAGAGGAUGAUCCGCCACACUGGAACUGAGACACGGUCCAGACUCCUACGGGAGGCAGCAGUGGGGAAUUUUGGACAAUGGGCGUAAGCCUGAUCCAGCCAUGCCGCGUGAGUGAAGAAGGCCUCGGUUGUAAGACUCUUUCGGCCGGGAAGAAUACGCACAGGUUAAUA
Molecule: ribosomal RNA, 432 nt
Filed under: uncultured bacterium
Lineage: Bacteria
Description: bacterial SSU rRNA
Rfam family: Bacterial small subunit ribosomal RNA
Source: RNAcentral